GAAACCGGAGCUAAUACCGGAUAAUAUUUUAACCGCAUGGUUCAAAAGUGAAAGACGGUCUUGCUGUCACUUAUAGAUGGAUCCGCGCUGCAUUAGCUAGUUGGUAAGGUAACGGCUUACCAAGGCAACGAUGCAUAGCCGACCUUAGAGGGUGAUCGGCCACACUGGAACUGAGACACGGUCCAG
RNAcentral lists this ribosomal RNA (186 nucleotides) under uncultured Staphylococcus sp. RNAcentral describes it as "partial 16S ribosomal RNA". It matches the Rfam family "Bacterial small subunit ribosomal RNA", at positions 153 to 334 of the family's 1533-position model. The record is from RNAcentral. Lineage: Bacteria; Bacillati; Bacillota; Bacilli; Caryophanales; Staphylococcaceae.